RNAcentral lists this long non-coding RNA (791 nucleotides) under Monodelphis domestica (gray short-tailed opossum). RNAcentral's name for it is "lncRNA (ENSMODG00000031235.2)". Lineage: Eukaryota; Metazoa; Chordata; Mammalia; Didelphimorphia; Didelphidae. The record is from RNAcentral.
AUGAGGAAACUGAGGGCAAGAAGUUGUCCAGACUGGAGUCAGGAGGACCAGCAUUCAAAUCUGACCUUAGACACUUCCAAUCUAUGUGACUCUGGAUUCCAUCAUCAAGAACUAUCUUCAAGAUUCUGUACUUCUGAAUUUUGGUCUUUGCCUAUGGCCUGGCAUUUAAACUUCUACCCUGAGAUCUUGAGCUUCUGAUUGGUGAACAUUUACCUCUUCUAACACAGACCUAGAACCACCAUAUCAUCUAGUCAUCUCCAUAGCAUGUUCCUGAGUGUAUGCCCUCUUCUCCCUUGCUCCUCCCAAAUCUGCUUUCCCACUCUAGCUUUGAAAACAAUAAUCAAGUCAAUACUGCCAUUCUUGGAAAAGGGAUAAGUGCUACAGGAGAUGGAAGAAGGCCUGGGGUCAGAGGGAAGAUUGUUCUUUGCAUCAUCAGAGUCUCUCUGCAACCUGGUUGGAAGAUUGAGCUGGAAGAAGAAGGUGGAAGUUGAAGCUGGACUAGGACACAGAUGAGAAUUCUGUGUCACAUGAUCAAUAAGAUGGAAGAUGAGACAACAGGGAAGAAUAGAAGAAUGUAUGCUGAGGAGCAAAGAAGCUCAAGAUGUAACUCCAGAUGACUGAUAUGGCAAACCUGAGUCUUAUUAAUGAAAAAAAGAUGAAUGUUCAAUAGAAAAGAGAAUUUCAAAGCAUUCCUCAAAAGAAAACCAAACCUGAAGAAAGUAUUUGCUUUCCAAAUACCUAGACAAUGAAUAUAAAAGGAAUGUAAAUAAAUAGAAUUAAGGACAAUAACA